UGCAUUCAUUGAGUUUUGAGA
RNAcentral lists this non-coding RNA (21 nucleotides) under Caenorhabditis elegans. Lineage: Eukaryota; Metazoa; Nematoda; Chromadorea; Rhabditida; Rhabditidae. The record is from RNAcentral.